CAGUAGCCACGGGAAUACAGAGGGUGCGAGCGUUAAUCGGAUUUACUGGGCGUAAAGCGUGCGUAGGCGGCUUUUUAAGUCGGAUGUGAAAUCCCUGAGCUUAACUUAGGAAUUGCAUUCGAUACUGGGAAGCUAGAGUAUGGGAGAGGAUGGUAGAAUUCCAGGUGUAGCGGUGAAAUGCGUAGAGAUCUGGAGGAAUACCGAUGGCGAAGGCAGCCAUCUGGCCUAAUACUGACGCUGAGGUACGAAAGCAUGGGGAGCAAACAGGAUUAGAUACCCCAGUAGUCCCUGUCUCUUAUAU
Molecule: ribosomal RNA, 301 nt
Filed under: uncultured bacterium
Lineage: Bacteria
Description: partial 16S ribosomal RNA
Rfam family: Bacterial small subunit ribosomal RNA
Source: RNAcentral